Molecule: ribosomal RNA, 466 nt
Filed under: uncultured bacterium
Lineage: Bacteria
Description: partial 16S ribosomal RNA
Rfam family: Bacterial small subunit ribosomal RNA
Source: RNAcentral
GACGAACGCUGGCGGCGUGCUUAACACAUGCAAGUCGAACGGAAAGGCCCUGCUUGCAGGGUACUCGAGUGGCGAACGGGUGAGUAACACGUGGGUGAUCUGCCCUGCACUUCGGGAUAAGCUUGGGAAACUGGGUCUAAUACCGGAUAGGAGCCAUCUCUAGUGUGGUGGUUGGAAAGUUUUUUCGGUGUAGGAUGAGCUCGCGGCCUAUCAGCUUGUUGGUGGGGUAAUGGCCUACCAAGGCGGCGACGGGUAGCCGGCCUGAGAGGGUGUACGGCCACAUUGGGCCUGAGAUACGGCCCAGACUCCUACGGGAGGCAGCAGUGGGGAAUAUUGCACAAUGGGCGCAAGCCUGAUGCAGCGACGCCGCGUGGGGGAUGAAGGCCUUCGGGUUGUAAACUCCUUUCGCUAGGGACGAAGCUUUGUUGUGACGGUACCUAGAUAAGAAGCACCGGCUAACUACGUG